UCGAGGGGCAGCGGGGGUGAUGGCUUGCCAUCACCUGCCGGCGACCGGCGCACGGGUGAGUAACACGUAUGCAACCUGCCCGCCACAGGGGGAUAAGCGGAAGAAAUUCCGUCUAAUACCGCGUGACGCGGCGUCGGGGCAUCCCGGUGCCGCCAAAGGGAUUACCGGUGGCGGAUGGGCAUGCGGCGCAUUAGCUAGUCGGCGGGGUAACGGCCCACCGAGGCGACGAUGCGUAGGGGUUCUGAGAGGAAGGUCCCCCACACUGGUACUGAGACACGGACCAGACUCCUACGGGAGGCAGCAGUGAGGAAUAUUGGUCAAUGGGCGGGAGCCUGAACCAGCCAAGUCGCGUGAGGGAUGACGGUCCUACGGAUUGUAAACCUCUUUUGCCGGGGAGCAAGCGUGCGUUCGUGAACGCGCGUCGAGAGUACCCGGAGAAAAAGCAUCGGCUAACUCCGUGCCAGCAGCCGCGGUAAUACGGAGGAUGCGAGCGUUAUCCGGAUUUAUUGGGUUUAAAGGGUGCGUAGGCGGGAUGCCAAGUCAGCGGUAAAAAAGCGGUGCUCAACGCCGUCGAGCCGUUGAAACUGGCGUUCUUGAGUGGGCGAGAAGUAUGCGGAAUGCGUGGUGUAGCGGUGAAAUGCAUAGAUAUCACGCAGAACUCCGAUUGCGAAGGCAGCAUACCGGCGCCCUACUGACGCUGAGGCACGAAAGCGUGGGUAUCGAACAGGAUUAGAUACCCUGGUAGUCCACGCAGUAAACGAUGAAUGCUAACUGUCCGGUGCGAAUGAGCGCUGGGCGGUACAGCGAAAGCGUUAAGCAUUCCACCUGGGGAGUACGCCGGCAACGGUGAAACUCAAAGGAAUUGACGGGGGCCCGC
This 877-nucleotide ribosomal RNA is filed under the name uncultured bacterium. Its description in RNAcentral is "bacterial SSU rRNA". It matches the Rfam family "Bacterial small subunit ribosomal RNA", at positions 62 to 924 of the family's 1533-position model. The record is from RNAcentral.